This 1497-nucleotide ribosomal RNA is filed under the name Exiguobacterium sp. VIT-AJC. RNAcentral describes it as "bacterial SSU rRNA". It matches the Rfam family "Bacterial small subunit ribosomal RNA". The record is from RNAcentral. Lineage: Bacteria; Bacillati; Bacillota; Bacilli; Caryophanales.
UUGGGUUGGGGGGCAUGGGGAUGCUAUACUGCAGUCAAAAGCGCACGAAAUCAUCACUACCCUUCUUGGGGACGUCGAUGGAAUGAGCGGCGGACGGGGGAUUAACUCGCUAAGAAACCUGCCCUCAAGUCUGGAAUAACCACGCAAAAAUCGGAGCUAAUACCGGGAUAGGUUUCGUCUCACCGCAUGGUCAAAGAAAUACAGGCGCUUCUGCAUCCCCUGGCGAUGGCCUCGCCGCGCAUUAACGAGUUGGGGGAGUAACGCCCCAACAAGGCGACGAUGCAUACCCCGACCUCAGACGCUGAUCGCCCCCACAUGCGACUGAGACUCCGACCCAGACUCCUACGGGAGGAAGCAGUCAGGGAAGCUUCCACAAUCGGACGAAAGUCUGAUGGAGCAACGCCGCGUGAACGUAUGAAGGCCUUCCGCUCGUAAAGUUCUGUUGAAAGGGAAGAACUAAGUGCCGCACGCAAUGGCGGCACCUUGACGGAACCUAGCGAGAAAGCCACGUGCUAACUACCUGCCAGCAGCCGCGGUAAUACGGAGGUGGCAAGCGUUGUCCGGAAUUAUUGGGCGUAAAGCGCGCGCAGGCGGCCUCUUAAAUCUGAUGUGAAACCCCCCGGCUCAACCGGGGAGGACCAUUGGAAACUGGGAGGCUUGAGUAUAGGAGAGAUACAGUGGAAUUCCACGUGUAGCGGUGAAAUGCGUAGAAAUGUGGAGGAACACCAGCUAGCGAAGGCGACUCUUUGACCUAUAACUGACGCUGAGGCGCGAAAGCGUGGGGAGCAAACACGAUGAGAUACCCUGGCAGUCCACACCGUAAUACGAUGAGUGCUAGGUGUCGGACGGUUUCCGCCCUUCAGUGCUGAAGCUAACGCAUUAAGCACUCCACCUGCGGAGUACGGUCGCAAGGCUGAAACUCAAAGGAAUUGACGGGGACCCGCACAAGCGGUGGAGCAUGUGAUUUAAUUCGAAGCAACGCGAAGAACCUUACCAACUCUUGACAUCCCCCUGACCGGUACAGAGACGUACUUUCCCCUUCGGAGGCAGGGGUGACAGGUGGUGCAUGCUUGUCGUCAGCUCGUGUCGUGAGAAGUCGGGUUAAGUCCCGCAACGAGCGCAACCCUUGUCCUUAGUUGCCACCAUCCAGUAGGGCACUCCAAGGAGACUGCCGAUGACAAACCGGAGGAAGGUGGGGAUGACGUCAAAUCAUCAUGCCCCUUAUGAGAUGGGCUACACACGUGCUACAAGGGACGGUACAAAGGGCAGCGAAGCCGCGAGCUGAAGCCAAUCCCAGAAAGCCGUUCUCAGUUCGGAUUGCAGUCUGCAUACUCGCCUGCAUGAAAUCGGAAUCAAUAGUAAUCACAGGUCAGCAUACUGCGGUGAAUACGUUCCCGGGUCUUGUACACACCGCCCGUCACACCACGAGACUUUGUAACACCCGAAGUCGGUGAGGUAACUCUAGGGAGCCAGCCGCCGAAUGGUGUUCAAAUAUGG